Molecule: long non-coding RNA, 433 nt
Filed under: Neogobius melanostomus (round goby)
Lineage: Eukaryota; Metazoa; Chordata; Actinopteri; Gobiiformes; Gobiidae
Description: lncRNA (ENSNMLG00000001280.1)
Source: RNAcentral
UGGCCUGGGUCGCAGCUGUCAACAGAACAAACGUCACUUUUGCCAGCGUUUCCAAAUAUAUCGUUUGUUCCAGGCAUUUCAUUAAAGUGUGGACAGGCAAACCAUCAUAUGAGAUGUUCGACCAAGACCCUAACUAGGCUCCGUCUCUUCACCUUGGACACGGAGAACCUCAAAGUGCGUAUCUGGUGUGAUGUCAAAUGUUUGUGCUGAGCAAUGUUUAAUCAAGAGGAGAUGCUGCAGACUAAACUCAUUUAAAUAUAGUCAUUAGCUUGAAAAUAAUGUUCAAAUUGUAUUCAGUUCCAAGCUGUCUAUUCUAAAUUAGGAAAUGUUGAAGUUGCUUUAUUAUUUCACUGAAUCACCUUCCCCCUGAGAUUUAUGCGGGAAAUACUAAAUAGUAACGUCAAACAGUGUUUCUUAAAAUCCAUUUCAUUUC